GAGGGUAUAGCUCAGUGGUAGAGCACGUGCUUAUUAGCAUGCAAGAGGUCCUGGGUUCAAUCCCCUGUAUCGCCA
This is a transfer RNA of Camelus ferus (Wild Bactrian camel), 75 nucleotides long. It matches the Rfam family "tRNA". From Rfam's summary of the family: Transfer RNA (tRNA) molecules are approximately 80 nucleotides in length. Their secondary structure includes four short double-helical elements and three loops (D, anti-codon, and T loops). The record is from Rfam. NCBI's taxonomy places the organism in Eukaryota, Metazoa, Chordata, Mammalia, Artiodactyla, Camelidae.